RNAcentral lists this ribosomal RNA (782 nucleotides) under uncultured bacterium. RNAcentral's name for it is "bacterial SSU rRNA". It matches the Rfam family "Bacterial small subunit ribosomal RNA", at positions 561 to 1342 of the family's 1533-position model. The record is from RNAcentral.
UAAAGAGCUCGUAGGCGGUUGAGUAAGUCGGGUGUGAAAACUCUGGGCUUAACCCGGAGACGCCAUCCGAUACUGCUCUGACUAGAGUUCAGGAGGGGAGUGGGGAAUUCCUAGUGUAGCGGUGAAAUGCGCAGAUAUUAGGAGGAACACCGGUGGCGAAGGCGCCACUCUGGACUGAAACUGACGCUGAGGAGCGAAAGCAUGGGUAGCAAACAGGAUUAGAUACCCUGGUAGUCCAUGCCGUACACGGUGGGCACUAGGUGUGGGUUCCAACUAACGGGAUCCGCGCCGUCGCUAACGCAUGAGGUGCCCCGGCUGGGGAGUACGGUCGCAAGACUAAAACUCGCAGGAAUUGACGGGGGCCCGCACGAGCAGCGGAGCGUGUUGCUUAAUUCGAUGCUACGCGAAGAACCUUACCUGGCUUUGACAUGUUUGCAAAAGCCACAGAGAUGCGGCGUCCGCAAGGCCCGAUCACAGGUGGUGCAUGGCUGUCGUCAGCUCGUGUCGUGAGAUGUUGGGUUAAGUCCCGCAACGAGCGCAACCCUUAUUCUAUGUUGCCAGCAAGUAAUGUUGGGGACUCAUGGAAGACCGCCGGGGUCAACUCGGAGGAAGGUGGGGAUGACGUCAAGUCCUCAUGCCCCUUAUGUCCAGGGCUGCAAACACGCUACAAUGGCCGAUACAAAGGGUCGCUUGCCCGCGAGGGUUGGCCAAUCCCAUAAAGUCGGUCUCAGUUCGGAUUGAAGUCUGCAACUCGACUUCAUGAAGCUGGAGUUGCUAGUAAU